This 521-nucleotide ribosomal RNA is filed under the name uncultured bacterium. RNAcentral's name for it is "bacterial SSU rRNA". It matches the Rfam family "Bacterial small subunit ribosomal RNA", at positions 19 to 518 of the family's 1533-position model. The record is from RNAcentral.
CUGACUCAGGACGAACGCUGGCGGCGUGCCUAACACAUGCAAGUCGAACGGAGAGCAUAUGAAGUAUUCGGUACGGAAUGCGUUCUUAGUGGCGAACGGGUGAGUAACACGUGGGCAACCUGCCCCAGACUGGGGGAUAACAUUGUGAAAACAGUGCUAAUACCGCAUGACAGGGUUCCGGGCAUCCGGGACUCUUGAAAGGAGAAAUCCGGUCAGGGAUGGGCCCGCGUCCAAUUAGCUAGUUGGUGGGGUAACGGCCCACCAAGGCGACGAUUGGUAGCCGAACUGAGAGGUUGAUCGGCCACAUUGGGACUGAGACACGGCCCAGACUCCUACGGGAGGCAGCAGUAGGGAAUUUUCGGCAAUGGGGGAAACCCUGACCGAGCAACGCCGCGUGAAUGAAGAACCGUAUUUCGGUAUGUAAAGUUCUUUUAUUAAGGAAGAAUAUCACGGAUAGGAAAUGAUCUGUGAGUGACGGUACUUAAUGAAUAAGCCCCGGCUAACUAUGUGCCAGCAGCAGC